This 636-nucleotide ribosomal RNA is filed under the name Plantibacter sp. Ri1Ps_4638. RNAcentral's name for it is "bacterial SSU rRNA". It matches the Rfam family "Bacterial small subunit ribosomal RNA", at positions 382 to 1029 of the family's 1533-position model. The record is from RNAcentral. Lineage: Bacteria; Bacillati; Actinomycetota; Actinomycetes; Micrococcales; Microbacteriaceae.
CCUGAUGCAGCAACGCCGCGUGAGGGACGACGGCCUUCGGGUUGUAAACCUCUUUUAGCAGGGAAGAAGCGAAAGUGACGGUACCUGCAGAAAAAGCACCGGCUAACUACGUGCCAGCAGCCGCGGUAAUACGUAGGGUGCAAGCGUUGUCCGGAAUUAUUGGGCGUAAAGAGCUCGUAGGCGGUUUGUCGCGUCUGCUGUGAAAUCCCGAGGCUCAACCUCGGGUCUGCAGUGGGUACGGGCAGACUAGAGUGCGGUAGGGGAGAUUGGAAUUCCUGGUGUAGCGGUGGAAUGCGCAGAUAUCAGGAGGAACACCGAUGGCGAAGGCAGAUCUCUGGGCCGCUACUGACGCUGAGGAGCGAAAGGGUGGGGAGCAAACAGGCUUAGAUACCCUGGUAGUCCACCCCGUAAACGUUGGGCGCUAGAUGUGGGGACCAUUCCACGGUUUCCGUGUCGUAGCUAACGCAUUAAGCGCCCCGCCUGGGGAGUACGGCCGCAAGGCUAAAACUCAAAGGAAUUGACGGGGGCCCGCACAAGCGGCGGAGCAUGCGGAUUAAUUCGAUGCAACGCGAAGAACCUUACCAAGGCUUGACAUAUACGAGAACGGGCCAGAAAUGGUCAACUCUUUGGACACUC